RNAcentral lists this ribosomal RNA (77 nucleotides) under Escherichia coli. RNAcentral describes it as "partial 16S ribosomal RNA". It matches the Rfam family "Bacterial small subunit ribosomal RNA", at positions 1 to 75 of the family's 1533-position model. Lineage: Bacteria; Pseudomonadati; Pseudomonadota; Gammaproteobacteria; Enterobacterales; Enterobacteriaceae. The record is from RNAcentral.
UUAAAUUGAAGAGUUUGAUCAUGGCUCAGAUUGAACGCUAGCGGCAGGCCUAACACAUGCAAGUCGAACGGUAACAG